AUUCAUCUGACGAGUCUCAAACAGGACAAAACGUGUGUCCUUGAU
This is a non-coding RNA of Schistosoma haematobium, 45 nucleotides long. The record is from Rfam. Lineage: Eukaryota; Metazoa; Platyhelminthes; Trematoda; Strigeidida; Schistosomatidae.